This 319-nucleotide ribosomal RNA is filed under the name Chaetomium sp. SW271. RNAcentral describes it as "LSU rRNA". It matches the Rfam family "Eukaryotic large subunit ribosomal RNA", at positions 331 to 670 of the family's 3401-position model. The record is from RNAcentral. Lineage: Eukaryota; Fungi; Ascomycota; Sordariomycetes; Sordariales; Chaetomiaceae.
AGACCGAUAGCGAACAAGUAGAGUGAUCGAAAGAUGAAAAGCACUUUGAAAAGAGGGUUAAAUAGCACGUGAAAUUGUUGAAAGGGAAGCGCUUGUGACCAGACUUGCGCCGGGCGGAUCAUCCGGUGUUCUCACCGGUGCACUCCGCCCGGCUCAGGCCAGCAUCGGUUCUCGCGGGGGGAUAAAGGUCCUGGGAACGUAGCUCCUCCGGGAGUGUUAUAGCCCGGGGCGUAAUGCCCUCGCGGGGACCGAGGUUCGCGCAUCUGCAAGGAUGCUGGCGUAAUGGUCAUCAGCGACCCGUCUUGAAACACGGACCAAG